GAUGAACGCUGGCGGCGUGCUUAACACAUGCAAGUCGAACGGAAGGGCCAGUGCUUGCCCUGGUACUCGAGUAGCGAACGGGUGAGUAACACGUGGGUGAUCUGCCCUGCACUUCGGGAUAAGCCUGGGAAACUGGGUCUAAUACCGGAUAGGACAAUGGUUUGGAUGCCGUUGUGGAAAGUUUUUUCGGUGUGGGAUGAGCUCGCGGCCUAUCAGCUUGUUGGUGGGGUAAUGGCCUACCAAGGCGUCGACGGGUAGCCGGCCUGAGAGGGUGUACGGCCACAUUGGGACUGAGAUACGGCCCAGACUCCUACGGGAGGCAGCAGUGGGGAAUAUUGCACAAUGGGCGCAAGCCUGAUGCAGCGACGCCGCGUGGGGGAUGACGGCCUUCGGGUUGUAAACUCCUUUCGCUAGGGACGAAGCGUAUUUGUGACGGUACCUGGAGAAGAAGCACCGGCUAACUACGUG
RNAcentral lists this ribosomal RNA (468 nucleotides) under uncultured bacterium. Its description in RNAcentral is "partial 16S ribosomal RNA". It matches the Rfam family "Bacterial small subunit ribosomal RNA", at positions 28 to 507 of the family's 1533-position model. The record is from RNAcentral.